This 1068-nucleotide ribosomal RNA is filed under the name Triticum aestivum (bread wheat). Its description in RNAcentral is "partial small subunit ribosomal RNA". Lineage: Eukaryota; Viridiplantae; Streptophyta; Magnoliopsida; Poales; Poaceae. The record is from RNAcentral.
AUGGAAAAUGUACUAUUAACAAAGAGAGCAUUGCGGAACUUGUGUGGGAAAAUUGGACGUGAUCAGGCUGAAGAUGAUGUCCGCAAAACAAUGGAGGUAUUUCAGGAGCUAGGUGCUAAAGAUCAACAGUUCACAUAUCGAGUCCAAGCUGCCAAGGACGGAAGGAUAGGUACUCUUAUGUGGGCUACUGGUAACAGCAGAUUGCAGUACACCUUCUUCGGAGACGUCGUGACAUUCGAUACAACUUACAGGACCAACCUGUACGACAUGCCUUUCGGGCUUUUUGUUGGAGUGAACAACCACUUUCAGAGCAUUAUACUGGCCGGCGUCUUGGUGAGAGAUGAGAAGGUGGAAACAUUUGAAUGGGUUUUUGCAGAGUUUGUCAGAAUGAUGGGUGGCAAUGCGCCGAAAACAAUUCUAACAGACCAAAAUCGCGCGAUGGAGGUGGCCGUAAUGAAUGUGAUGCCAAAUACGGUGCACCGGUGGUGCAAGUGGCAUGUGCUGAAGAAGGCGAAGGAGUCAUUGGGGCGAUUGUACUUCAUAAAGAGUGAUUUCCAAGCAGAGUUUCACAAGGUCGUUAAUCACAUGCGGACAAUUGAUGAGUUUGAAGAGGCCUGGAAGUACCUAAUAGAUAAAUACAACCUGAAGUCGCACGAGUACAUGACUAAUAUAUAUGAGACACGUCACAAGUGGGCAAAGUCGUACUUCAAAGGUGUGUUUUGUGCUAAAAUGACUAGCACUCAGCGGAGUGAAAGUGUGAACCAUAUGUUGAAGAACUAUAUACCCCCAAGAUGUCCUAUGCAUCUGUUUGUGAGGAAAUACAUGGUGCUGCAGUUUGUCAGGGAAGCGGAGGAAAAUUAUGAGGAGAAGAGGACCCUAAUUAAUCGACGGCCGGCGUUGGCUCCAGAACGAGGGAUCCAGGUAUACACCCGAUUGCCGCACCCUGCACAUGGGACCAGGGGCAAGACCUCAUCCUGCGCAGCCGAUGAAGAUGAUGCAGACAUGGUUGAGGGCGAGCUCGUACUGGGAAUGGCUCGGCUACGAUUGUAUACAAGUACUGAUCUGUGA